GAUGAAGAACUCAGCGAAAUGCGAUAAGUAAUGCGAAUUGCAGAAUUCAGUGAGUCAUCGAAUCUUUGAACGCACAUUGCGCCCUGUGGUAUUCCGCAGGGCAUGCCUGUUCGAGCGUCAUUUCAACCCUCAAGCUCUGCUUGGUGUUGGGCCCUGCCCGCUGCGGCCGGCCCUAAAGACAGUGGCGGUGCCGCCUGGCCCUGAGCGUAGUACAUCUCUCGCUCCAGUGCCCGGUGGUAGCCUGCCAGAACCCCAACUCUCGUGGUUGACCUCGGAUCAGGUAGGGAUACCCGCUGAACUUAAGCAUAUCAAUAAGCGGAGGA
Molecule: unclassified non-coding RNA, 323 nt
Filed under: soil metagenome
Description: partial contains 5.8S ribosomal RNA, internal transcribed spacer 2, and large subunit ribosomal RNA
Rfam family: 5.8S ribosomal RNA (bases 1-120)
Source: RNAcentral